This 2501-nucleotide long non-coding RNA is filed under the name Pan troglodytes (chimpanzee). Its description in RNAcentral is "long non-coding RNA NONPTRT012175". Lineage: Eukaryota; Metazoa; Chordata; Mammalia; Primates; Hominidae. The record is from RNAcentral.
UCCUUUGAGGCAGACAUUUUCCAGUUAAACUUUAAACUCAAAAGCUUGUCCUAUUUAUCUCCAAAAUGCAGGCUAUGUGUCUCCCUCCUAAUUAGCAUGAAAUUACUUCUUGUUUUUCCUUCAUUAGAAAUUAGGAUUUAUUUUUUUAAAGAUAAAAUUUGUAUUCCUGCUUAAUUUUUAGACUCAUUUGGAAGCAGUGCAUUUUUAUCAGAGGGACUGAAAAGCCUUUCGAGAAUCAGUCAAGAAAAAGGAAUGCGCAUGAGAGUCAUGGUCACAUCAUGUGAUUGUAGGGAAAGCCUAGGCUAUCAUGGAGGGAAGAGAUUGGAUAAAUUAUUUGAAAAGCAAGCCUGUGAAUUGCUGUGGAGGAACAAUAGCCUGUCUCUUAUCUGGAGCCUUUCCAAGGAAAAGCAAAGGGGACCCUAGAAGGCUUCCUGGGAGACAGUUUAAUUCUGAAAACAAAGCAGUACUUCACCUCUUGUGUGUUGGGUAGAGCUGUAAAACAGAACACAGUCAAAAUAGUCAUUAGGGCCACAUCAAUGUCUGCCCAAAGUCAGGCGAGCAUUCCCAGGAAGGUGGGGGGCUGUGGCAGUUGCACACAUGAACCUCCUUUCUCCAUUGUCACACAGCAGAAGAGCGUGUUCCAUUCUACUAAAGUUGGGGCGGGGGGAGUUGAAUAAUUUAUUGACUGAAAACUGGGGGCCUGAGUUAGAUGGUAAAAAAGUUUAGAGUGCUGUUUUUUGUUUUUUAAGUUAUGUUUGUUUUAUAUAUUGAAGUGCUUAAAAUGUACUUUAAAAAUUCAAAACAUCCCAGAAAUUCAGCAACUUGAGGAGACAAUAGUGACGAACAUUUUAUGGCAACAUUUGGACACUUUAAAGAUUAUUUCAGGAACUUUAAUGCUGAUAAAUGAGAGAAGGGACAACUUUUCCUAACUAUAACAUUUUGGCACCUGAGUACAGGGAUCAAAACAAGAGCAAGCAUUUCAAAUUCAUAUUGUGAAGCACCUACAAAAAGAUUAUUCUGUUAGCCUUCAUAAUGUGGAGAGUUCAUCUUUUCAUCUUAUCAAAUAAAAAUAUACCCAAAUUCUUGAACAGGCAUUCAGUUAGGAAAAGAGGGUGGGGUGAUGAAAUGUGUUCUCAUUCAGCAAACACUUUGCAGAUAUUUCUAGUCAAAGAUCCCUGUGGUCUAGGCUAGUGAGAGAAAAACGUGCCCUCUGCCCAGUGACAGUGGCUUCACGGGGAUCAGCUUUCACCAAUGCAGGCAGGGGAACAAAGGGCAGGCUUCAUCUGCCUGCAUCCCACAGGCCCUUGCGCAGGGGAGUUCCAUUUCAGUGCCCAUCACAUGACCUCUCAGGCCAAAACGGUUUUUAAUAAUUCUGAUUUUGAAUAUCAAAUGGAAGUGAAAAGUACAUUUAGGAAGGAAGGGCUCUAUCCUUAUUGAAGAACAUGCUCUAUGCAAACAGGUUGGACAGGCACUAGCUCUUGUAGAGCUAUGGUUCUCAGCUUUGGCAACACACUGGAUCACCUCCUCUAAAAGGUACUGAUGCCUGCUUUCCUCCCUCCUCUGCCCCUAAAGAAAGUAGAAUUUAAUUUUAAGCUCUAGGGUGUGGCCUGGGCAUCAGGACCUUUUUUUUUUUUUUUUUUUUGACAGAGUCUCACUGUGUCACCUAGGCUACAGUGCAGUGUGCAGUCUUGGCUCACUGCAGCCUCGAUCUCCCAGAUUCAAGAGAUCCUCCUGCCUCAGCCCCCUAAGUAGCUAGGAUUACAGGCACGCACCACCACACCAGGCUAAUUUUUGUAUUUUUUGUGGAGACGGUCUUUCACUGUGUUGCCCAAGCUGGUCUUGAACUCCUGAGCUCAGGUGAUCCACCUGCCUCAGCCUCCCAAAGUGCUGGGAUUACAGGCAUAAGCCACAGCCCCUGGCUGGCAUCAGGAUUUUUAAAAGCUCCCCAAGUGCAGUCAAGGUUGAGAACAGCUGCUAUAGUGUGAUUUAAUACAGCAUUCAAAGCCUCUCAUAAUCUAGCCUCAGCCUAAUUUUUCCUUCCAGCACCCCAUCUCAGCCUGUACAUAAGCCACAGAGACAUUCUCACUGUUCUCUGAAUGUACUUGGCUCAUUCAUAUUUCCAGGCUUUCUUGCACACACAUUGUCUGACUCUGGGCACCUAAGGAAAGCUCAGCUCCAAUGUCCUCUCCUCUUCUGUGAAACCUUUCCUGUCAAGCCCACCUUCACUACUAAGUCACUCCUUGCUCCUUGAUCAGAUGGAAGAAUGCUUUGGCAUAUCUCUACUGGAGCCCUUCUCACUUUGCAUUAAAGAUAACUGUAUAUAGGUUAGCCCACUCCUCCUCCCUAAUAGCAUGUGGACCCUUUGUAGUUUCAGCAGUAAGCACAGGGCUUGGUUUCUAUGAAUACUUAUUGAGUGAAUGGAUGAAUGAAUGCCAAUCUUGUACAUUGUUGAUGUUCACCACAUUGAACCCAGUUCUCAAACCAGGAUCACUUGGGAGAUU